GCGGUAAGCAGAAGGGCGGGGCAGACUCUGGGCAGACGCUGGAGUCGUCCGGGACAGAUGCCUCCAGUUUGUCACCGGCUUGGAGAUGCCGCCUGGCUGCACCGAGGCACCAGGCCUCUCCUGUUGUCCCUGCUGCUUCCCCGGGAUCCAGGAUUUAGCCCGGUCUCUAGAAGAUCCACGGCGUGGUCAGUGGCCAGUCUUGGACUUUGAGCUUGCUCUUGUCCAAUUACUUUACUUCAGGGCCAAAGAAACGGCAUCCCUGAGGUAACUGAAAAUGACCUUGAACUUAUGAGCCUCCUGCCUUCACCUUCAAGUUCUAGGAUUAUAGGCAUGCACCACCAUGCCUCGUUUAUUCUGUGCUGGGAACCAAACCCAGAGCUUCAUGUGCACGAGGUAAGCACUCUACCAACUGAGCUACAGCUUCAAGCCACACCCAUCGUCCCCACCACACUUGAGACACAGGAGUCUCGGCAUGUGGCACAGGCUAGAGCUUGCAGUCCUCUUGUCUCUGCCUCCCUAGCGCUGAGAUUUCCCGCCAUGUACUGCCACACCUGGCAACAGUGUGUUUUAAAGAUCUACCCAAAUCAGUAUAUUGGGGGCAUGUAGGGAUCCACUGUAGAGCUGCAUCAUCACGCAUUUAACUGUACUGAUGGACAUUUUUUCUAAUACAAACAAUGCUGUGAUGAGAAACUGUAUGCAUACUUUUUGUUCAAGUGCCAAUUCAUACAGAAAAACUUCAUGACAGACACAGUCCUGUGUCUGUCCACUGAAUUGAAAAUCAUUUCCCCCAGUUUGUCAUGUGUCUUGAGACCUUACUCAGGGUUUGUAGCAUUUAUUCUCCCUGGUGUCUUCGUCACUGUUCUAUUGCUGUGAAGACACACCAUGAUCAAGCCAACUCUUAGAAAAGAAAGCAUUUAAUAGAGGGCUUAUUUACAUUUUCAGUAGUUUAGUCCAUUAUCAUCAUGGCAGCACACCUGUCUAUAGAGUAGUAGCUGAGAGCUACAUCUUUGUCCACAGGCCAAGAGAGAAAGCAACUAAGUCUGACAUAUUCUUUUGAAAACCUCAAAGCCCACCCUUGGUGACACCCUUCCUUCCACAAGGCCACACCUACUUCAACAAGGCCACAUCUCUUAGUCCUUUCAAAUAGUUUCACUUCCUGAUGACUAAGCGUCCAAAUAUAUGACCUUAUGGGGGCCAUUCCCUUCAACCCGUAUCUAGUUUACAUUUCUCAAUUUGUUCUUUUAUAAUUUCAGGAAUUUGAGUCAUAAUCAGAAAUGUCUUUGUACUCCAGAAUGUCUGAUCCCUUAUGCUCUUGGAGUCUUACAGCACUGGGCAUUGAAUCCAGAGCUUCAUACAUGUUAGACAAUCACUUCUUUCCCCAUGUUUUCUUAAUACCCUUUCAUGCCUUUUUACAUAUAUAGUUAUAAUAGUUGGGUAUUAUAUUAUUAUAAAUAUUUCUUCCAAGGAGUAUACUUGUAGUUGCACUUAAAAAACAAACAACAACAACAAAAAAACCAACCAGGGUCUCAUGUAGCUCAGGCUGCUCUUGAACACACACAACUUAGCUAAGAAUGAUCUUGAAUUUCUGACCCUCCUGUCUGUGCCUCCCAAGUGUGAGAAUGAAAAGGAUACUUGAAUUUUUUCUCAAACCUGGGGAUGUGUGAAUACAUGGUAUGGUGGCACAAAUCUGUCAUUCUAGGUGCUUACAAUACCAAGUCAGAAAGAUCUCAAGUUCAAGGCCAGCCUGGUCAACUUAGAGAAACUCUGUCUCAAAACAAACAAACAAACAAACAAGCCAUAAUACUGUCAUCUCUGCCCUCACUUAUGUGUGUCUAUUUCAUAUGUGGUCUCUUUCAUUUCACUAUUUUGCUUACUUAUUGUUUUGGGGGUUUCUUAUUAUUGUUCUUUGCUGUGUAUUCUAGAUUCUUCAUGCUUCUACCUUCUUCUUUUUUUAUUUUUCAAGACAGAGUUUCUCUGUGUAGCCUUGGCUAUCCUGGAACUCGCUCUGUAGACCAGGCUGGACUCAAACUCAGAGAUUCACUUGCCCCUGUCUCCCGAGUGCUGGCAUUAAAGAUGUGUGCCACUACAACCUGGCUUGUUUUUAUCUUAUAUAAUGAUUUGGAAAGCAGAAAUCAAGUUUGUAAUUACACAAAUCUUCAGAUUAGUCAAGCACAUAUAUUGAACUUCCUAUUAUCAAAUUGCCAAGGCAAUACCUCUGUGUCAGCUGCUUUCCAAAAAUCUAUUCUUGCCCAGCUUCAGAUGAGGAAACUAGAACUAAUUAAGUCGCUUGAAACCCAGAAGAUCUGCAGAUUGCCCUCUGGAUGGGGAGAAGUUUUGCAGGCUUAAAUUAAGCCAGUCAGGGCCAGUGGGAGUGGAGAAAAAUCUCAGGGAGACAAGGAGGGGUGAAUUUCUCAAAGUAGAGUCCCCAGGGCCUUGAAGCUCUUGAUACUAACCCUGGGAGCGUUGCCAAUCUGAUAUGUGCAAAAUCCUGUCUCCCUGGAGCUGUGGUUUCACUGCUCUUGGAGUGAGCCCCAGCAUCUUUUCAUACCUUUGGGGGCCAUUCUCAUUCCCAUAUCUGUGAGCAGCCCGUUCAUAUUCUGUUUUCCUCUUGGGAAGUCCCAGCAAAUAACCACAUCAAAGCUCCCUGGACUGUUUGCUUGCAGAAUGACAAAUGAUUCUGAGGGGUUUAUUUUGUCUCUUAUAAAGUCAUUUCCUGGAUAAUGAGCUUUUCAUCGGAAACUUCAGAACGAUUUUCUUCUUCCUUGUGCUGUGAGAUCUUUUCCAAGUCCCCAUUGUAAUUUUUGUUCACCCUUUCUUGAUCAGGAGGAAAUAAAGCUCCACCAGGCCCCACCUCCUGACCCUCUCAACUCUGUGCUGUGUUGCUUAAUAACGGUCGAUGUCUCAAUUCCACCAUUAGACAGUGUAGACAUAGAAAGAGAGAGGCUGAUGGGGUAGAUUAGAGGAAUUGCCGUCAUCACUAGCAUCAUAAUAGCUGCCACUUAAGCAGCCCUGUGUGUGAAUUCACUCAUUAAUAAUAUGUAUGCAAAUUGUAUACUCCAAAUAUAUAUGAACUACAUUUACAUACAUAACAAACUUGCAAGAUAGGUACUAUUAUGAUCCCCAUGUGACAGAUGACAAAGUGAGACAUAGAGAGGUUAUGUAAUUUGUCUAAGAUCACACAGCUAAUAACUGAUUGAGUUAGAAUUCUAUGGUAUCUGGCCUCAGACUCCACAGUCUUUUCCUCUCUGACUGACUUGAAGAUCAAUCUAUGUAUUAAUGUCUGGUCAAAAGCCUGUGUGUUCAGCACUGCUGUGGGGUCCCUGGGACGGAAGUAUGCACUGACAAUAGACCUGUUUUCUCUACUACAGGACUGCUGGUUGUCUUCUCCGUAAUUCACUUCGCCCUCUGAUUCUUUCCCUCAACAAGUAUCAGUUGAGUGGUUACGUGGGACAUGCCCUACCCUAGGUCUCUGGGAUGCCAAGAUGAACUAGCCACUGUGUGUGUGCACAUGUCCCCAGAAGAGAGUGUCAGAUUCCCCGGAGCUGGAGUUGGAAGCAGCUGUGAGCUACCUGCUGUAGAUGCUGGAAUCCCAACUUGGGUCUUUCACAAGAAUACAAAGUACUAUUUGCUGCUGAGUAA
Long non-coding RNA from Mesocricetus auratus (golden hamster), 3639 nucleotides. RefSeq lists it as uncharacterized. The transcript has 4 exons. Lineage: Eukaryota; Metazoa; Chordata; Mammalia; Rodentia; Cricetidae. The record is from RefSeq and is a predicted model, not a curated record.